RNAcentral lists this ribosomal RNA (120 nucleotides) under uncultured bacterium. RNAcentral describes it as "partial 16S ribosomal RNA". It matches the Rfam family "Bacterial small subunit ribosomal RNA", at positions 215 to 334 of the family's 1533-position model. The record is from RNAcentral.
UCGGAAUUAGAUGAGCCCGCGUAAGAUUAGCUAGUUGGUGGGGUAAUGGCCUACCAAGGCGACGAUCUUUAGCUGGUCUGAGAGGAUGAUCAGCCACACUGGGACUGAGACACGGCCCAG